RNAcentral lists this ribosomal RNA (172 nucleotides) under Boana microderma (smallskin treefrog). RNAcentral describes it as "Hypsiboas microderma (smallskin treefrog) partial 16S ribosomal RNA". Lineage: Eukaryota; Metazoa; Chordata; Amphibia; Anura; Hylidae. The record is from RNAcentral.
ACGUGAUCUGAGUUCAGACCGGAGUAAUCCAGGUCAGUUUCUAUCUAUAAAGAGCUUUUUCUAGUACGAAAGGACCGAAAAAACAUGGCCAAUGAAUAAUUAAGCCAUACUAAUAACUAAUGACUUCAACUAAAUUAGUAAAAAACCUUAUACACCUCUCAAGAUAAGAGAA